UACGUAGGGUGCGAGCGUUGUCCGGAUUUAUUGGGCGUAAAGGGCGCGUAGGCGGCCACGCACGUCCGUUGUGAAAUCGCUCGGCUCAACUGGGCGGGGUCAGCGGAUACGGUGUGGCUAGAGCAAGCUAGGGGGCAAUGGAAUUCCCGGUGUAGUGGUGGAAUGCGUAGAUAUCGGGAGGAACACCAGUGGCGAAGGCGGUUGCCUGGAGCUUUGCUGACGCUGAUGCGCGAAAGCGUGGGGAGCGAUCCGG
RNAcentral lists this ribosomal RNA (253 nucleotides) under uncultured bacterium. RNAcentral describes it as "partial 16S ribosomal RNA". It matches the Rfam family "Bacterial small subunit ribosomal RNA", at positions 524 to 776 of the family's 1533-position model. The record is from RNAcentral.